Molecule: unclassified non-coding RNA, 309 nt
Filed under: Hevea brasiliensis (rubber tree)
Lineage: Eukaryota; Viridiplantae; Streptophyta; Magnoliopsida; Malpighiales; Euphorbiaceae
Source: RNAcentral
GGCUUGUGAAGGUGCAAUGAUAGCCGUGAUAUCAGAAUUCAUAUGUCUGUGCAAUAAGUUUUUACUGGGGGGUUGUUCAAUUCAGUUAGAUUCAGAUUUUAUAAAACAUCGAAUUUCUCUCUUGUUUGCUUAUUUGCCAUUGGCUAGUUUACAUAAUUUCCCUGAUCAACUUGUACCGUUAUUUAGGUCCAAUCAGAAUAGAAAAGACUAAAUAUCUGCAUUUCCUAUCUUCAUUUUUUGUAAUUCUGGAUGCCAUAUUGCUCGAACAUAUUAUUUUGUUGGCAGAUACUUGGGCCUGGUAGUGGUUGG